Molecule: unclassified non-coding RNA, 827 nt
Filed under: Leishmania donovani
Lineage: Eukaryota; Euglenozoa; Kinetoplastea; Trypanosomatida; Trypanosomatidae
Description: gene:unknown
Source: RNAcentral
UCCACUCCAUAAAAUGAUACACUCUCGGCAAAGCCCCUCCCCCUCCCUUCGAGGCGCGUCUCCCCUUAUGUGUGCGUGAGCGCCUUGUGCGUGCACGGGUGCGCGUGUACGCACAAGUGCAUCCACCACAUCUCUCUCUCUCUGCUCUUUUUUUUUCAUCGGUAGUUUGUGUGUGGCUGUGUGUGUGGGUGUUGGUGCAUGCCAUCGCGCGCGCUGUGCGUGUACAGGUACGUGCGAGCAAGCAUAAAGGGGUGGGACGUGGCCAUGUUCAUCGCGGCACAGCCGGUGGCCGGGCAUCUCUCUUCCUUCCCCCAGUCAGCUCAUACACGCACGGUUGGAAGCGCAGCCACGCAAUGCAGAUGCGCGUACGUGUUCAGGCUUUAUACCCUUAUCCCCUUCUCGCAACAGGAACAGGCAAAGAAGGCGCCCCUCGCGACGGCGAUCCAAAGCAGGGGCGACAUAACAUGAGAGCAAGCAGCGGACAAGUGCACUCCGACGCGGGUGGAGUUUGACCCACCCCACCCCCCGCCCCACCACCUUUGUUCGCUCUCGCUGCCGCCACCGCCACCAUCAGCACAGAUGAGUGCUGCUAGCAGGGAGGCGAUACUGGGGGAAGGGCGGGGGUGGGAGCAGUGGAGGAAAACGAAAGAAAAAAAAAGGGACAAAGAGUGGCAGCGGGGUACGGGAGAACCGGCACCGGCUCACGCCCAGAAGGUUCCGUCACGCUGUGCCUCGGUGUGCGAUUUGGGCGUGGUAGAUGCAUUGCCUACUCGAGCCGCUUUUCUUCUUGUCUCCUCUCUUUGUGCGGUCACGUUGUUGCCCGCUAG